RNAcentral lists this ribosomal RNA (493 nucleotides) under uncultured bacterium. RNAcentral's name for it is "partial 16S ribosomal RNA". It matches the Rfam family "Bacterial small subunit ribosomal RNA", at positions 28 to 523 of the family's 1533-position model. The record is from RNAcentral.
GAUGAACGCUAGUGGCAGGCCUAACACAUGCAAGUCGAGGGGUAUCCCGCUUUCGGGCGGGAGAGACCGGCGCACGGGUGCGUAACGCGUAUGCAACCUACCCUGUACUGGGGGAUAGCCCGGAGAAAUUCGGAUUAACACCCCAUAGUACUAAUGAAUGGCAUCAUUUAUUAGUUAAAGGUUACGGUACAGGAUGGGCAUGCGUCCUAUUAGCUAGAUGGUAAGGUAACGGCUUACCAUGGCUACGAUAGGUAGGGGGCCUGAGAGGGUGGUCCCCCACACUGGUACUGAGACACGGACCAGACUCCUACGGGAGGCAGCAGUGAGGAAUAUUGGUCAAUGGGCGCAAGCCUGAACCAGCCAUGCCGCGUGCAGGAAGACGGUCCUAUGGAUUGUAAACUGCUUUUGACGGGGAACAAGUCGGCCAUGCGUGGCUAAGUGAGUGUACCCGUAGAAUAAGCCACGGCUAACUACGUGCCAGCAGCCGCGGUAA